This 280-nucleotide ribosomal RNA is filed under the name Atypus sp. 187. Its description in RNAcentral is "partial 18S ribosomal RNA". It matches the Rfam family "Eukaryotic small subunit ribosomal RNA", at positions 965 to 1244 of the family's 1831-position model. Lineage: Eukaryota; Metazoa; Arthropoda; Arachnida; Araneae; Atypidae. The record is from RNAcentral.
UGUUUUCAUUAAUCAAGAACGAAAGUUAGAGGUUCGAAGGCGAUCAGAUACCGCCCUAGUUCUAACCAUAAACGAUGCCAACCAGCGAUCCGCCUGAGUUCCUCAAAUGACUCGGCGGGCAGCUUCCGGGAAACCAAAGUGUUUGGGUUCCGGGGGAAGUAUGGUUGCAAAGCUGAAACUUAAAGGAAUUGACGGAAGGGCACCACCAGGAGUGGAGCCUGCGGCUUAAUUUGACUCAACACGGGAAAACUUACCCGGCCCGGACACUGGAAGGAUUGAC